RNAcentral lists this ribosomal RNA (443 nucleotides) under uncultured bacterium. RNAcentral's name for it is "partial 16S ribosomal RNA". It matches the Rfam family "Bacterial small subunit ribosomal RNA", at positions 338 to 795 of the family's 1533-position model. The record is from RNAcentral.
CCUACGGGUGGCAGCAGUGGGGACUAUUGGGCAAUGGGCGCAAGCCUGAUCCAGCAACGCCGCGUGAAGGAAGAAGGCCCUCGGGUUGUAAACUUCUUUUGUCAGGGACGAAACAAAUGAAGGUACCUGACGAAUAAGCCACGGCUAACUAAGUGCCAGCAGCCGCGGAAAUACGUAGGUGGAAAGCGUUAUCCGGAUUUACUGGGUUUAAAGGGCGUGUAGGCGGCAGAGCAAGUCAGAUGUGAAAUUCCAGGGCUCAACCCUGGAACUGCAUUUGAAACUGUUUUUCUUGAGUUAUGGAGAGGCAGGCGGAAUUCCGUGUGUAGCGGUGAAAUGCGUAGAUAUACGGAGGAACACCAGUGGCGAAGGCGGCCUGCUGGACAUUAACUGACGCUGAGGCGCGAAAGCGUGGGGAGCAAACAGGAUUAGAUACCCGAGUAGUC